This 400-nucleotide ribosomal RNA is filed under the name uncultured Psychrobacter sp. RNAcentral describes it as "bacterial SSU rRNA". It matches the Rfam family "Bacterial small subunit ribosomal RNA", at positions 498 to 897 of the family's 1533-position model. Lineage: Bacteria; Pseudomonadati; Pseudomonadota; Gammaproteobacteria; Moraxellales; Moraxellaceae. The record is from RNAcentral.
UAACUACGUGCCAGCAGCCGCGGUAAUACAGAGGGUGCAAGCGUUAAUCGGAAUUACUGGGCGUAAAGCGAGCGUAGGUGGCUUGAUAAGUCAGAUGUGAAAUCCCCGGGCUUAACCUGGGAACUGCAUCUGAUACUGUUAGGCUAGAGUAGGUGAGAGGAAGGUAGAAUUCCAGGUGUAGCGGUGAAAUGCGUAGAGAUCUGGAGGAAUACCGAUGGCGAAGGCAGCCUUCUGGCAUCAUACUGACACUGAGGCUCGAAAGCGUGGGUAGCAAACAGGAUUAGAUACCCUGGUAGUCCACGCCGUAAACGAUGUCUACUAGUCGUUGGGUCCCUUGAGGACUUAGUGACGCAGCUAACGCAAUAAGUAGACCGCCUGGGGAGUACGACCGCAAGGUUAA